This 9375-nucleotide long non-coding RNA is filed under the name Taeniopygia guttata (zebra finch). Its description in RNAcentral is "lncRNA (ENSTGUG00000019105.1)". The record is from RNAcentral. Lineage: Eukaryota; Metazoa; Chordata; Aves; Passeriformes; Estrildidae.
UUUUUUUUUUUUUUUUUACACUGUGUAUCCUGCAACAUUUUUGUGUUGGAAAACCUGGAAUUAUAAAAUCAGUAUCUCUGAAAUGUUUGCUGUACCCUGCAGCCAGACCAUAACAUGUGGCACAUCUGAAGGUCUAAAAUUUGCAGCUUUAAAAUUUCUCUGACUGAAUAAUUAGAUACUGCCUUGUAUGCCUGCUACAAUGUUUUGCACAUAAAUUACUUACAAACCACUGUGAGAUUCAAACAAGAAUCUGACAGGGAAACACAGGUAUUACCUCCUGUAAGUAAUUUAGGCAUGUCAAAACUAUAAAUUGUUGCCUUACUUUUUUCUUUUUAUGACUUGUGACACAAGAAUGGAUUACCUCUGCACUAUUUUCUACUUUGGUUAUAAUUUUUGUCAUUCAAAUAAAGGCAGAGCAAGAAAGAAUGAAAAUAAAUUAUUAUGGCUCAGUGUAAACUAUUUGCAGGAUGGUGUUAAAAAGGAAAUUAAUAGAAAAAAUAUAUUCCUAAAUUUCAAUUCUAGCAAUGAGAAUUGUACCCAUAAUGGAAAAAAAUAAUGUAAAAUUAACUAAUGUACAUCUUGUUUUAGUGCAAUUAUUUAAUUCUCCAUGCUGCAACAUCUGACAGCAACUCACAUACAAUGGCCUUGGAGUUCUAAAAGUAAUGACUCAAAUUCUCACCUUUCCUCUCCACUGCUACAGUUCAGUGUCACUACAAUUCAUCCACCUGGUGCCAUUUUCCCAGCUGGUUGUAAUUCUUGUCACAGAAAUGAAGAAUUUGAAACCUUUUCCAGACCAUUUGUAACAUUCUGCAUUUGGUUCCAUUGCUAAUUCCAUCUCCUCAUUCAUCUACAGCACAAUUUCUGAAUCCAUAUUCUAUGGAUUCAGGGUUCACUGAGCCAACCAAGUGAAAUAUGGACUAUUAACAAGAUGAAACUUCUUUUUCCUUGCUGAAUGCUGUGUUACCACAUAUCACUAGAAGACAUCCCAAUUCUUAGCAAUCACACUGCACCAUGCAUAAGAAAGGGGAAUGACUCAGGAGAAAAUAAAAAUAUCACUGGUGUGCUCUUAAAGGUGCGUCAGAGUCACUCACAGACAAGUGAGACUGCACUGUGGCACACAGGUGUAUUUCACCAGCUGUGCAAGAGAUUAGAUCAGUGCACUCUCUUUUAACAAAAUGAUGCACUCCAGAUAACUCUGCAUCCCAGUUCUGAGCCUGACUCUAAAUUCCAUCAUAAAGCCAAUAUUCCAUGAACUCUGUUGCACAAAGGGUCAGCAAGCUCACCGUGCCAGUCACUGGCACAAAUCCUGUCAGGAUUUCCUGAGGUGACUUUUCCUUCAAGUACUGACAAGUUUCAGGAGGAGGGUCACAGUCCUUUGGUUUGCCAGUGAAUUUGUCCUUCAGCUCAGCCUCUCCUUGCAAAGAGGUUUCCUGCAGCACAGAGCUGCCCCGUGCCCCUCUUUGCCUUGCAGAAGGUCCAAGUCUCUCAAGGCCUAAACCUCUCAGGGACAAAAUUAACAGCAGACUGCCAGGAAGCACCACAAUCCAGUUCCCAUCCCCUUUCCCUCCAACACACCUUAUCAAGGUACAAAAUACGCUGCAAACUCAAGCUGAAACAAGGGGAAAUGCAAAAUGUGGGUAGCCCGUGCUACCCUAAAUACAGAUUUAACUGCCCGGGGCAGAACUCUGAGAGGGUUUGUGCUCAGCUCAGCACAGGGAGAGGUCAAUGCUCAGAUGAAUUUCUUUCCAGGCAGCAGCUCAGUGCCUUUCCCUGUGUGUAAUGGGUGCCCCCGGGCUCCCUUUUCUGAUAUCCUGCCCUGAAUGCAGACCCGGAAUGAUUCAGGGCCACUCAGCCACUCAAACAAACAAGGAGGUGCAUAUUGACAUCUGGGGAAAAACUCUCACCAUUUUAGACCAGGGUUUUUAACAUGGGAAGCUGUCCUGAGAACUGAGCUGCUUCAAGAGGUUUUCUCCUAUUUUAAGAUGUUUCCCAUCUUCUGUGUGCAAGAAAGACCUUUUUAACCCUGUUCAUUUCUGGCUUCGUGGGUAAAUCUGGUGUGAGGGAUUUGUACAACGGUGUCAUACUUGCCAACAACCCCAUGGGUCCUAAACCCCACACAAUUCUGCAAUUUCAAAACAUCAUGAACUCAUUUUAAUAUUUUCACACCAUCCCUCUGUACAGAGGUGGAAAACACAGAGCAUGUAAGAAUUCAAUCACACCAAGAGGUAUCAUUUGUGUCACAAACCAGGUUUCCUAGGUGUUUGGAAAGGUUUCAAUAUUGUUAUUAUUCUAUUUAAAAUGCUUCUGGUUUUAUGUCUAACAUGAGAUGUUGCUUCAGUGCUACCAGUAAGCCAAGAAGCAUUUGCAGUAUCUCUGCUGCAUUAUUUGAACUUUUAUACGUACACAGAUCUGUCCAUCCAGCCCCCUGCAAACCUGAUGGAACAACUCUGUCAUCUGUCAUGCCAUCAGAGCUUCACCACUUACUCAAAGCAGUGCUACAAAACUGUUUUCUACUUCUACUCAUACUAGAUGGAUAACUGCAGAAGGUAAACAAUAUGAAUUUAACUUGCCUCUUCCAACAGAAAUAACAUACACUGCUGUACUACAACCUAAAAAAAUAGAUUUGCUGAUAUUGAGAUUCACUUGCAAUUCUGUUUCUCCUCUUAGCAGGAACAGAGCAUCAUGGGCUGGGAAGUUUGCCUUUUUUCCCAUUCCUAUAUAUUAUCUUUGCAGUUUAAACAACAGUGUAGUGUUUAAAAACACACCACAGUAGCUGUGCAAUGUGGCAUUGCAUCUGUACAUCAUCCAUUUUCAAGAAAUGCCACCUACAGGACUGCACAUGGAUCUGUUUUGGGGAGAAGCCAGGAUUUCUAACACUCAGUUUAAAUUUUGGCUAUUUUUCUCUUCCUUUGUUUAUAAAAUCCUGUCAAUUUAUGAGAAGAAAAAGCUCUUCUGAACAUGAUGUGUUUAUAAGCAACAAGAUGGUCUAGAGAGAUUUGGACUUUCAGACAUUUGGAUUGAAUUUCAGCUGUGUCUCAGCACAGUAAUUGAUUAUCUCAAAAUUAAUUCUACCUUCAGCUCAAGUCUAUCAGACCAGACAAUUCCAAAUGUUUUUAAAAGCCAGACUAUUUUAACCACUUUGCAGAAUGCCAGUCUACCAGAUGGAGAAAGAAAACCCUAGCAAGGAAAUAAUGGGAUUAUUACAUUACUUUAGACCGUGGAAGUCUCUUUACAGAUAAAAACAUCUGCUGUGUCCAUGUGUGUGCACAUGUUUAACUAAAAAAGGCUCGCCUGUCUGUGUGCACAUGUGCACAUGUCUGUACACAGUCUAACACCUGAAGGCUUUGCAUAUGAGAAAGCCACUUCAGAAAAGUGGCUUUCUUUUCAUGUUCAUGUAGAUUUACAUGAAAUUCAGAACAGGCGUCAGGAACUCAGUGGAAAUGCACCUCUUAAAUCUACACUCACCCCUGCCCUCUUGCUUUCACAAACCAGGUGUUCACAGGGAAAACUCUUAAAUACACAUCCCAGGGUCCUGGUCAUUUCUCAGACAGACUUCCUAAGAAUUUGGAUCCAUAGAGACUCUGACUUGGCAGUCAUACACAGCAGCAUCAGGAAGCUCUGCUGGUUUCACCUGGAAUGGGUUUAAACAUCCCCUUUGCAAACAGCAGCCAAAGGAAUGGGAGGAUGCUUUUAAUUAAGAGCUCUAUAAUUAAGUAUCACACAACUCACCCAAGUCCUAGUCUGACCAGGAAGUGAUGCUUGGAUCUCUCUUCACAUCAGUUCUUCCUUCACCUUCUGCCUCUCUUGUCCUUGUCCUGUGCUCACCCACAAUUUCCCCCAGCUAAUGCUGCAGUGUGCUCAAAGGCAAAAUGUGUUCCAAAGGAAUUCAAUAAAAAAGCUGUUCCCCUGCAUUAAGCCACCAGCAUUAACCUUCUUUAAUUCUUUUAAUGUACUGCUCUUUGAUUAAGGGUUUUUUAUUGUACUGUAAUUUUCAGUCCUCCCCAUCUGUUCAGGAGGGAAGUGCCAUCCUCCAGUGGCAGGAAUGAACUGAGAGGGAUUUGCUCUGGAGGUGACUUUCGGGGCUUUGCUGCUGUUGGCUGAUGCUUUCAUCACAACCACUGUAUAAAUAUCCCCAGUUGUUUGUGGCAACUGGCAACAGAUAAAGGAAAGGCACUGACUGGCCCCUGUGGAUAAUGUGUGAACACCUGGAAUGAGACAGUCUGGUCUGUGCCCCAGGAAGAUCCUUCCAUCAGUGAUAUUGUGAUAAUUUCCAUGAUUGUGAGGGGUUCAUUGUGCUAAGGCAGUAAAAGCACACCCACCAGUUUUAUUUAUUGUCUGCUCUAAUUUUGUUAUUUCAAUUUAACACAUUUAUGUUCCAAGUGUAAUAGUGAUUUGAAUUCAUGCCCAGUUUACAUCAUAAAAAUUCAAUUGCUAAAAAGGCUUUCUUUUAGUAUCUGCUGUCUUCUGAAAGGACAAAUAUAGCUCUGGCAUUUUCCUUCUCUAAUCAUGUUACUAAAAUAUAUAAAAAAGCCCUUUAGAGAUUAAUGUGAUUUGGUUGUGCAGAUAUGAGAGAGUUCUUACCACCUAGAACCUUCAUUAAAAGAUUCACAUAAUGAAGGAGAACAACAGUUCUCCAUAAAUCUAGUUUGGUAUCUGAAACUUCCAUUAAAAAAAAAGCAUCUAGCACUAAGAAACAACAAGAAAAAACCAUUUCCACAGUAUCUCAGAUAUUAAUUUCAAAUAUAAAAACCUGUUUAAUACAGAAAUAUUGGUAUGUCAUCCUAGCCACUCCUUCAGUGCUCAUCAUUAAAUGCAUUUACUAUAUUCACAACACAUAACAUGUGUGUCCAUGUAUUACAGGACCCGACAAUCUAAAGCCUCAAACUCCUCCUCUAAAAUAACCAAAUUCUGUGCAUCACCUUCCCCCAAGUGUGGAAGUGCAGCUGACAUUGGCAGUGUCUCCCUGAGACUGAAGCCAGCUGUGAAUUGACCCCAGCUCUGCAUUCCCCAGUCACAUUUUGUACCCUGGCUGUGCAGUCCUGGCUCUGUUUGGGCUGAACUGAAUGUGCAGAUGAGCUGGUGCAGCAGAAUCAGAUUUUCUCCUCCAGCCUGCACCCCCUUGCUGCCCUGUGGGAUUCCCUGGCCUGCCUGGAUGCAGGGACUGGUGCCCCAGGCUCCAUCCUUGGCAGGGACUAAACAUCCCAAACGUCUCCCUUGUCCCUCUCACCUGGAAGCUCACUGCUCACAGAAACUGUCCGUGGCCCCUUCCCCUCCACAGCAGCCCAAACCCAGCUGUUAACACAAAUUCCUCUUGGCAGUCUGCAGGGACCUUCUCCUUCCCAGCCUCUGAUCCAUGGCUGGAUGUCCACACCCUCUGACCCACCAGUCACCCUUCCCAUUUUCCUACCUCUUUUAUACUUCUUUUCAUCCUGCUGCUGGCCUGACUUCUCUCAGCUCACCUUUGCUCCUAUUCUGUCCAUGGCCUGGCUGCUCUUUUAACUCCUCCUUGCAGAGCCUGUCUCAUCCCCUCCAGUUCUCACUGAGGUGCCUCACUGGGCUCAGCCUGUCACUAAGCACCUUCUCCUCCUUCACACCAACAGCACCUGCAAUCCCUUCGUCCAAAGUUUUGCACAAGGAUGCCAAUUCUGACAAUUCUAAUCCAGGGAGCUCAUUUGUGAUGCUCUAAAUGAAUCUCUACAGCUGAAAUUUGGAAACCAAGCUGUUGGUUCAGAGGAAAGCUGUUACUGCUUCCCAGCAGAGCAAACAACAAACUUAAUACAAAAAAAUCAGAUUUUUCUCCCCAGAGAUGAUGUUAUCUGUGACUCUGAGGAAGACUUUUGAAGUGUUAAUAAACUGUAUGAGAUUAAGGUGCCUUGAAGACACCAGUGUCCUGAUGAAUUCCUGCAGUAAACAUUGAUAGAAGAAGGAAAUUAUAGUAUGAAUAAAGAUGCUGAGUGAAGUCCAGCCUCAAAGGGAGCAGGGAUGAGGCAUAAAGGUGCUCAUUUAAAAGGGAAGCUGAAACAUUUAGCUUAUCUAGCUAAACAUAUUAUGGCUGUUUUAGCAUUAUUUUUAUAAUAGCAGAACCAUAUUUAGCUAAUGCUCCACAAAUGGAACUAAUUAAGCUGUACUUAAAGUAUUUUAUUUAUAACUGAAAUGCUCUAUUUCCAGGAAAUCAGACUAAUGAGGCAAGUACUUAAUUUUGGAAGUAAUUUUUUAAGAAUUUGCAUAACUUGGCAUGGCUACAUAAACUUAGUACUUACUUGGAAGAUCUAGACUGCUCUGUGUUGAUAAUAAGUUAGAGAAGAGAUAUGGUAGGGGAGGGGAGCAAGCAAGCCUUUACCACACAUUGCUGAUAAGUAAGUUUUAUUUUUACAAUUUCAGGGCUACAAUCUAUCAAAAGUCUCCCAGUCAAAAAGCUAAGUAAACUUGCAGAGAGAAAUGGAAACCCAGUUUUUCCUUUUACCUUACUUACAUUGCUGCUCUUCACCUCUUGAAUCUGGUGGGAUUUUUUAAAUCACAGCACACGUGCCAUUGCUCACUUACUAAACCAAACUCACCUGGAGUCUUGGUAUUACAAAUAGAACAAAAAGUACCAGCUGAAAGUAAUGAACUCGGGGCAUUUCUUGGGGGAAAAAAAAAAAAAAAAAAAGGCUAUAGAGAAGGUUGGUUCUUCCACCAGCCAAGUCUGACACUGACACUGCUCAGAGCUCACAGUGGCUGCAGCAGCUCUGCUGCUCAGAGGGGCUCUGGGCAGUGCCUGCUCUGUGCUGCUCCCACACUUCUGGGCAAAACCUUGUGAUUAAUACCUGUGGCUACACGAGGGAGGUGACUGAGCCACAAGGAGCACAAAGCCUGGGGAAAACCCCUUCUGCCCAUUUCUGGUAUUCCAGGCCAAUAUCUCCUCUUGGUUCCUCUUGGAACCUUUGAACCUUUUGAAGGAAGGGAGAUGCUUUUUUUUCCAAAAUGCUUUCCCUGUCCAUAAACACAGGAGAAGCAGGAAGGGCUCAGAGAAGGAAUUUUAGCCAUUCCAACUCUCUGUCAGCACACACCUGAUGUUCAAAGCUGCCUCCAGCCCACAGCACCUGCUCACAGAGCUCGGCUUCUGGUCUGGCUGUUAAAGCUGAACAAACCUCAGAAGAAGAUUAACAAUAUACCAAAAGAUACAUAAAUUAAUUAAAUUUCACUAACCUAGCCUGCUAAGUCUGGUUUGCACUGAAAUGUCUGGCUGGUAUUAGAAGACAUAUUUGUAAAUUACAAAUUUACAAUUUGUAUACAAUUAUCAAUAUACUCUUCCUGCUAAUGACUACUUUAAAGAACUCCAAUUCUUUUUAAAUUACAGUUCAGUAAAACCAAACAGACCAAUUUAAAGCUUGUCAAUACUAUCCCUCCUCUCAGGCAGUACAGUUUUAGACAACACAGAUACAUCAGGUGUCCUCAGACAGAAACCUCAAAUCAAAUCAAGGUAGUUUGUUUAAAGAUCACAAACAUUUAUUUAGAGGCCCUCAUUUAAUCACAGAGCAGUUUCAGCAGCUAAGAACUUAGCUUUGUACUGAACUGCAGUAAAACACCUUUAAAGAAACAUGGCUUAAUAAAAUUAACAGUUGCACCAAACACUCUUGCAGCAGAAAUGAAACACAAACACACAUUUGGUGAGACAGUUAUAUAUAUAUAUAUAUAUAUAUAUAUAUAUAUUACUAUUUUUUAUUAAUUGCAAAGUACAAUUCACUAAAAUCAGGACUGAUCCUUCCCUAAAAAUCAGUGACUCCCAUAUUGCCUAUUAUGGAGGAUCUGGAAUUUCUUCUAAACUGCUUUCAGACACAAUGCACAUUCAUCACUGAAUCUCUGCUGGUAAAAAAGCUUACCAAAAUAAAGCCAUUUUGAGGAAAAACAGCUCCCACUCAUCCAGUCACACCUUUUGCUACACUUGCAGCAAUUUUAGCCAACCUUUAUUGCUCAAAUCAAGAGUGAUCAUUUUGUUAAUUUUGACUACAGCUCGUACAGAGCAAAGUGUUGCAGAAUCCGCACACGCUGGUUUUGGAAAGUUUGAAAUGUUUUUUGUUUUAAACACACCUCUGUGAAACUGUAAUAAAAACCCUGCAAGAUCACAGCUAACAGAAAUUACAGCUGGUAUGCCUAGAUCUUAAACAUAGCGAGCUUGUUAAUUUUGUAAGAAUUCUAUCAUUUCAUUGCAUUAUUUUCUAAUUCUCCAGCAAAGUUUUCGUACAAUGUUCAGUCCAAGAAAGAAGUUUAAGCUACUUGAAUGCCUGCCAAUCUGCCAGAACUCUUCUGCUAAAGCUUUCAUUCAGAACUAUAUUGGAAAGAGAAGCUGAAUAAAAGAGAACAGAACUGUGAGUGCUUUGAGGCAUUUCCCUGUAUUUCUGUGUUUAUCCACAUCUUCUCUGAGACAUAAAUCAAUGGUAAAAGUGCAGCUACCUGGUGCUAUUGUCCAAGUGAGCAGCCUCUAACUUUUGAUAUUACCAGUGAGAAAUCUUUCUCACAUCCUUUUCUAUUUCACUGUGAAAAAAAAAAACAAAAAAACAAAAAACAACCAAAACCACAUUUCAAGGAGUCAUUAAAACUUGUCAGGCUGCCAGGUAUCACAAGAGGAGAGAGCAAACAUGCUGUGAACAGCACAGUCUGUUUCUCACAGUCAGAAAUGAGGGUCAGCUGGAGGGAAAAGAACUGUAAGCUCCAAGGAAAGAUCUAGAUGGAACUAAGUCAGGCAUUUUAUCAUGCUUACCCUUUUCUCUGCCUGCUUUGAGCUUUGGGGGAACAGAGGGGACAGGCAGAAGUGUUUGAAGAUGCUGGUUCAGAGUCAAUUUAAUCAACUUCACAGUUCCUGAGACUCAAAGCAAUCACAGGUACCAAUUUCAGCUGGAUUGAUGGUAAGAGCCCACACUGAUAAAAGACCUGGUGCCGGAACAAGCAGGUCCCAUCACUUCACCCUCAGUGAGAUGCCAAAUGCCAGCCCCACCGCUGGAGGCCAGAAGAAGCGUGUGCCCACAGAGCAUACAGAAAAUCGCACAGAGCACACACAAAAUCGCCCUUUGCUGCUCUCCAGGAGCCAGUUCGGCCCCUGGCUGCAGUCUCAGACACCCCCGGCAGAGCCACCCCGCACAGCCCCGAGCUCCGGAGCCACCGCUGGUCCCAGCUGAGACCCCGCUGCCCUGGGAGCCCCCCGCCCUUCCCUCCUCUCUUCCCAGCCCUGCGGCAGCUUCUGGCAUUUCCCCGGGAGCUGGAGAUUGCUGCACCUUCCAAACCCAGACUGUCCCCACUGCAGCCCGACAUUCACCCCUGGUAAGGAAAGGCAAAUCAAAGGAAUCACUUUUCCUCUCCCAUCCUUCUGGCUUGGACCUUUGCUUGGGUCAAAGAGAG